Molecule: ribosomal RNA, 607 nt
Filed under: uncultured archaeon
Lineage: Archaea
Description: bacterial SSU rRNA
Rfam family: Archaeal small subunit ribosomal RNA
Source: RNAcentral
UAUGCUAGUCGAACGAACUGAACUAUGUCAGUUAGUGGCACACUGCUCAGUAACACGUAGCUAACCUACCCUUAGGACGUGGAUACCCCCGAGAAAUUGGGGUUAAUCCGCGAUAGGUGUAAUGUCCUGGAAUGGUAUUACGCCCAAAGGUAAUUCAUACAUGUUUGAAUUACGCCUAAGGAUGGGGCUGCGGCCGAUCAGGCAGUUGGUGAGGUAAUGGCUCACCAAACCUUUGACCGGUACGGGCCAUGAGAGUGGUAGCCCGGAGAUGGACACUGAGACAAGGGUCCAGGCCCUAAGGGGCGCAGCAACCGCGAAACCUCCACAAUGCACUCACGUGCGAUGGGGCUAUCUCGAGUGCCACCUGAUGAAGGUGGCUUUUCCUUGGUCUUCAAAGCCUUGGGAAUAAGAGGGGGGCAAGACUGGUGUCAGCCGCCGCGGUAACACCAGCCCCUCGAGUGGUGGGGAUGAUUAUUGGGCCUAAAGCGUCCGUAGCCGGCCGUGUAAGUCUUCCGUUAAAUCCAGCGUCUCAAGCGUUGGACUGCGGGAGAUACUGUACGGCUAGAGAGUGGGAGAGGUUAGCGGUAUUCUGGGGGUAGGGGCGAAA